Long non-coding RNA from Lolium rigidum, 588 nucleotides. RefSeq lists it as uncharacterized. The record is from RefSeq and is a predicted model, not a curated record. Lineage: Eukaryota; Viridiplantae; Streptophyta; Magnoliopsida; Poales; Poaceae. The transcript has 2 exons.
CCUUCAAACAUAGAGUGGCUAUCACUACAGAUUUGUGGACAUCGGGCUAUCAAAAGAGAGGUUAUAUGGCUGUUACCGCACACUAUAUAGAUGAUUCUUGGAAUCUAAAGAGUUUUCUUAUGAGGUUUGCUUAUGUGCCAUGUCCACAUUCAGCUGAGGUUAUAUUUGAAACCUUGUAUGAGUGUCUUGUUGAAUGGCACCUUGAGAGGAAGAUCUCCACCGUCACUUUGGACAACUGCACAUCAAAUGACAAGGCUAUGGUUAUAUUGCCAGAUAAGUUGGAUACAAGCUCUCUCAUGUUGGAUGGUCAAUUACUGCAUAUGCGUUGUGCUGCUCACAUAUUAAACUUAAUUGUAAAAGAUGGAAUGAGUGUCUUAGAGCAAGGUAUAGAGAGGUUGCGGGAUAGUGUUGCAUUUUGGUCAGCCACACCUAAAAGGCAUGAAAAGUUUGAAAAGAUGGCAAAAACUUUGAACAUAGGGUAUAACAAAAGGUUAACUCUUGAUUGUAAGACUAGAUGGAAUUCAACUUAUAUCAUGAUUAGCAUUGCACUACAAUACAUAGAGAUAUUUGAAAAAUUAAAGGCACGUG